RNAcentral lists this long non-coding RNA (233 nucleotides) under Elaeis guineensis (African oil palm). Its description in RNAcentral is "long non-coding RNA (EGUI_LNC066012)". Lineage: Eukaryota; Viridiplantae; Streptophyta; Magnoliopsida; Arecales; Arecaceae. The record is from RNAcentral.
ACAUAUCAGUAUGAACUAGUUCUAGUGGGGCUACACUAUAGACUGAACUACUGGCAAACUGUACUCUCCUCCACUUUCUCAUCUAGCAUGGAUCAUAUACCUUUGAGAUCCCUUCAUCUAGAUCUGCAAUCAGACCAUGCUUACUCAGCUCCUUCAUUCCACGAUCUCCCAAUGGCCUAGGCGAUAGUGUCACAACCGGUGAGUCCCCUGCUAGUCCUACGCUGCUACUGCUC